AUCAUUGGAGAGUUUGAUCCUGGCUCAGGACGAACGCUGGCGGCGUGCCUAACACAUGCAAGUCGUACGGGACCGGGGGCAACUCCGGUUCAGUGGCAGAUGGGUGCGUAAC
Molecule: ribosomal RNA, 112 nt
Filed under: Gemmatimonadota bacterium
Lineage: Bacteria; Pseudomonadati; Gemmatimonadota
Description: Gemmatimonadetes bacterium partial 16S ribosomal RNA
Rfam family: Bacterial small subunit ribosomal RNA
Source: RNAcentral